Oncorhynchus tshawytscha (Chinook salmon) is the source of this 3317-nucleotide long non-coding RNA. The record is from Ensembl. NCBI's taxonomy places the organism in Eukaryota, Metazoa, Chordata, Actinopteri, Salmoniformes, Salmonidae.
UAUAUAUAUGUAUACAUACACAUAUAUAUAUAUAUAUAUAUAUAUAUAUAUAUAUAUAUAUAUAUAUAUAUAUGUAUAAUAGAGCAUGUGAAACACUAGCAUCAUUCCAGGUAUGUACCGAUGUAAACCUUUGAUGGACAGAUUAUUUUGCCUUCUGUCCCCGCUGUGUUGUCGAGCCAGCAAGGCCAGAGUCACGUCUACAGUUCCAGCAUCAUGCCAUUAGGCCGUGGUUAAAUCCGAUCGCGCUUCGCCCGGCAAUGUUCUUGCGUUCGCUAAGACUGCAUUAACAGUAAACCGCAUAUGUCGGCUCAAUCGGAAAUUACCUACCUUUUAAAAAGGGCACUUUAGCAACCUUUAAAUGGAACUUAGCCACCUUUAAAUGGCGAAGGGAUUGAAUCCUGGCCUAAGUCCACUGAUUAGUAGCUGGAGUGUCACGUCAUAAACCUUCCCCAAUGAGUGUUACUUCAUAAAACCUCCCCAAUCACUCGGGACAUGACAAAAGAUGAAAUGACCAGUAGAACUAUCAAAUAUUUGUGAAGUCAUUUCUUUGAAUAUUACUUUCGUACCGUGGAAUAAGCCAACCAAUCUGAAUUAAUAUAUCUUGGGGCUCCCCCGACAUAACAGUUUUAAUAAAUUGUAUUGGAAGUUUGUGAAUAACUACUAUCCACGAUCAUUAGACUUUAAUGUAAAUGACUCUAUAUUCUUAUAUACAUUUGAUUGUACUUAAAACAGUGCAAUUUUGUCCUUGGCUAUCUGAAUAUUACGUUUCCACACUGACAAUUAGCCAUUGACAUGGAAUAACACACAAGUAGCAGUUUAUGUAUAGACUGUAGUUUUCACACAAAAAAAACCAAUGCAAUUGAGUCAGAAUAUGUGUAAAGUAUAUUACUGUAAAAUACUGUCAAAACAAUCCUUAUUCAUGCAUUAGCUCCCUCAAUACUUUCACUAAUUCUAUUAAAAAACUAUUGUUAGUCAAUGAAAAUGUAACAUUUUACACUUUAUUUUAUUUAAUUUCCACUAAUUGCUAUGAUUACUAUAUAUUUUUUUACAAUGCACCCAAGAAAAACUGCAAAUCUAGAAAAUGUUUUCCUUCUCAAUAUAUAUUGGUGUUUUAACUAACACUUUCUGUUUACUGUAUAAAACAGGCUGCUUAUAAAUAUCUAUUUUUGGAGCAAAACAAAUAUAAUCAAACAUUAUGUCCACAGGUCCUCCUCUUAGAAGAACCUCUUAGACAGAGAUCGUACUUGAGAAGAACAAGUUUUCCUCUUAGACAGUCAGAUCGUACUUGAGAAGGUUUUCGUGGUUGAUGACAGAAUUGUUAAGAUUAUCUACGACGACGCUGAAGAUUCCUACUGAUGCUACUAUUGCUAUUGUUGGUGUGCGUGUAACAGCUACUGCUAAUACCGUUAACUAUUGUGUGUUAACUAGUGUUUUUUUUUUUUUUAAAUGUUGUAUUGUGUUUUAAGAUGCGAUUUGUUUAUUUGGUUGGUCAGGUAACCAAUGGAACUUUUGGGCCAUGUUCAGUUGCCAAACGUUAUUGAAUGUCGCAGAUAGAAAUGCCAUUCAUAGAGCCGCCAUGAUGCCUUAUUCCACAUACACUAUCAGAGAGGCAUUUGUCUGUUCUACAUAGCAUUAUUUAUAUCUGAACGUUCCAAAACGUUGCAUACUGUUGUCUGAACGCGCCCUGUAUUUGAUGUCAGUGUACAGUUACUCACUAGCCAGAGGCACUAAUACCCGCUUGCUAAAUAACCUACAGUAGGUGAUCGUAUUAAAUAACUGGACUAACACACAACACACACACACACACACACACACACACACACACACACACACACACACACACACACACACACACACACACACACACACACACACACACACACACACACACACACACACACACCCACACAAACACACACACACACACACAGCAUCUCCUUAGUGUGGAGGUGUUGCUUAGGUCAUACAUUUUGUAGUUUUGCACACAGGCCAUCCGUUAGUGCCUCUCGUCCAAUCCCACUGCAGUCCCGCCCCUCUUCCUGAAUCCCUGCAUCCCAUUGGUUCCACUCUGCACCCCACUGGUCUCACUCUGCACCCCCACCCUGGACCCUCGCCUUUCCCUUCCCCAGACCGUCUCCCGCACCAGUACCCUCUCCCGCUUUCUGAUUGGCUGGCCCAGGGCUGACUGAGACUCUGUUCUAUAGCACAGCCUUUCAUCUAAGACUGCUCUGCCCCCCCACCCCCGCACUUCAAUGCAUCCUGGCAUUACACCCUCUGUACACCAGAUGCUGUCAUGCUCUGUGGGGAGGCUUAUGUAAGAUAUAGGAAGGAGAGAGGGAUAGAGGGAUGGAGACUAGAGAUCAAGAGACCAUGGAUCUAGGUUUUAAGUGGUCAUUGUAUUGAUGUCUCUCGCUCUCUCUCUGAACAGAAAUGAAACGUCUUCUCUAUAUGAUAUUGUGAUUCCUGCAUGUCUCACUGAAUGGAGCUGUUUUACAAACAUAAUAUCUAUUAAUAAUAAUAAUACAUGUACUCCGAAAUGGACUGUAAUUACUACGUGUCUGUAACUACACAGGAAAUGGACUGUAAUUACUACGUGUCUGUAACUACACAGGAAAUGGACUGUAAUUACUAGGUGUCUGUAACUACACAGGAAAUGGACAAAUAGACAUGUAAUGUUGUGUAUAUCUCGAGGGAGGAGAGGAGAGGGGAGGAGGAUUGUAAAAGUCAACCGGAGAAGGCAUUGUUUUAAAUAUAUCUAUGUAUUUUUGCUGUAUAUAACAUACAGUAUGAAUUUUGGUUUCAAAUGAAAAUGCAGAUAUAUAUAUAUAUAUUAAAAAAGUGAAUAUUUAUUGCUCUCAUAAUAUAAAACCUGUUCUUGCCGUUGGAAAAAAUAUAAUGUUUGUGUUUUAAUUUGUAACAUCUGUAAAGAAACCAGGGUAUGUACAUGAAAUGUGUGGAAAAGAGGACCAACCAUGGUACGUAUAUAAUUCCCAAUGGUUACCGCUUUUCAUAUGGUCCUUCAACAUGGAUUUGGUUUUCAAUUUACCAGCUCAAUUGGAUAUUAACAGACCAAGUUAUGGGGGUUAUGUGUCUGUGACUGAUAUUAACAGACCAAGUGAUGAGGGUUAUGUAUCUGUGACUGAUAUUAACAGACCCACUGAUGAGGGUUAUGUGUCUGUGACUGAUAUUAACAGACCCACUGAUGAGGGUUAUGUAUCUGUGACUGAUAUUAACAGACCCACUGAUGAGGGUUAUGUAUCUGUGACUGAUAUUAACAGACCCACUGAUGAGGGUUAUGUAUCUGUGACUGAUAUUAA